RNAcentral lists this ribosomal RNA (329 nucleotides) under uncultured eukaryote. RNAcentral describes it as "partial 18S ribosomal RNA". It matches the Rfam family "Eukaryotic small subunit ribosomal RNA", at positions 1470 to 1796 of the family's 1831-position model. The record is from RNAcentral.
CCCUUAGAUGUUCUGGGCCGCACGCGCGCUACACUGACGAUGGCAACGAGUUUUUCCUUCGCCGAAAGGUGUGGGUAAUCUUUUGAAACAUCGUCGUGCUGGGGAUAGAUCAUUGCAAUUUUUGAUCUUGAACGAGGAAUUCCUAGUAAGCGCGAGUCAUCAGCUCGCGUUGAUUACGUCCCUGCCCUUUGUACACACCGCCCGUCGCUACUACCGAUUGAAUGGUUUAGUGAGGACUCCUGAUUGGCGCCGCCGCCCCGGCAACGGAGCAGCGGACUGCCGAAAAGUUGUUCAAACUUGAUCAUUUAGAGGAAGUAAAAGACGUAACA